AACGCGACCGGAGAACAGUUUCGCAAAUGAGUUUGUCGAAUACUUGUGUGCAAGAGAUUCGGAACUGAGAAAACGAUAGCCACACUACGCCCGUAGAAGCCCUGUUUUAAUUCCGAAGGACCCGGGUUCGAUUCCCGGCACCUCCACCA
RNAcentral lists this transfer-messenger RNA (149 nucleotides) under Actinomycetota bacterium. RNAcentral's name for it is "Actinobacteria bacterium partial transfer-messenger RNA". It matches the Rfam family "transfer-messenger RNA", at positions 223 to 374 of the family's 374-position model. From Rfam's summary of the family: Bacterial tmRNA, also known as 10Sa RNA or SsrA, is named for its dual tRNA and mRNA-like properties. Its role is to liberate the mRNA from a stalled ribosome. Lineage: Bacteria; Bacillati; Actinomycetota. The record is from RNAcentral.